This 497-nucleotide ribosomal RNA is filed under the name uncultured bacterium. RNAcentral describes it as "partial 16S ribosomal RNA". It matches the Rfam family "Bacterial small subunit ribosomal RNA", at positions 28 to 507 of the family's 1533-position model. The record is from RNAcentral.
GAUGAACGCUGGCGGCGUGCCUAAUACAUGCAAGUCGAGCGAACGGACGAGAAGCUUGCUUCUCUGAUGUUAGCGGCGGACGGGUGAGUCACACGUGGAUAACCUACCUAUAAGACUGGGAUAACUUCGGGAAACCGGAGCUAAUCCCGGAUAAUAUCUUGAACCGCAUGGUUCAAAAGUGAAAGACGGUCUUGCUGUCACUUAUCGAUGGAUCCGCGCUGCAUUAGCUAGUUGGUAAGGUAACGGCUUACCAAGGCAACGAUGCAUAGCCGACCUGAGAGGGUGAUCGGCCACACUGGAACUGAGACACGGUCCAGACUCCUACGGGAGGCAGCAGUAGGGAAUCUUCCGCAAUGGGCGAAAGCCUGACGGAGCAACGCCGCGUGAGUGAUGAAGGUCUUCGGAUCGUAAAACUCUGUUAUUAGGGAAGAACAUAUGUGUAAGUAACUGUGCACAUCGUGACGGUACCUAAUCAGAAAGCCACGGCUAACUACGUG